UGUUGUCCGACUCUGUUGCCUCCGGGGCGACCCUGCCUUCGGGCGGGGGCUCCGGGUGGACACUUCAAACUCUUGCGUAACUUUGCAGUCUGAGUAAAUUUAAUUAAUAAAUUAAAACUUUUAACAACGGAUCUCUUGGUUCUGGCAUCGAUGAAGAACGCAGCGAAAUGCGAUAAGUAAUGUGAAUUGCAGAAUUCAGUGAAUCAUCGAAUCUUUGAACGCACAUUGCGCCCCCUGGUAUUCCGGGGGGCAUGCCUGUUCGAGCGUCAUUUCACCACUCAAGCCUCGCUUGGUAUUGGGCAACGCGGUCCGCCGCGUGCCUCAAAUCGACCGGCUGGGUCUUCUGUCCCCUAAGCGUUGUGGAAACUAUUCGCUAAAGGGUGCUCGGGAGGCUACGCCGUAAAACAAACCCAUUUCUAAGGUUGACCUCGGAUCAGGUAGGGAUACCCGCUGAACUUAAGCAUAUCAAA
Molecule: ribosomal RNA, 470 nt
Filed under: Cladosporium cladosporioides
Lineage: Eukaryota; Fungi; Ascomycota; Dothideomycetes; Cladosporiales; Cladosporiaceae
Description: eukaryotic LSU rRNA
Rfam family: 5.8S ribosomal RNA (bases 116-269)
Source: RNAcentral